CCAAACAUCCUAAUUAAGAUAGUAGUCCAAAGGAUAAUGAAUUUGGAACUAAAUAUAUUUUAUUUCAAUAUAGCUCUUACAUGGAAGCGCUAACUAGCAUCUACAAAAGCUCUCCAUAGUCUGUAAGAAUAUCAAUAUCAUGUCCAGUGGAAGAGGGCGGCACAUCAACCCAUCCACCAUUUACCAUGGAAGACUGUCCUAGAUCCGUACCGCUAGAGCCUAAGUAAGCAUCCAUCCUUAGGAAACUAUUGUAGUACGACUGAUCUGAUAGAGGAAAACCCCAUUGUUCAGUGUUAAAUGGGUCAUCAAUAGAAAAGGCAUUGCCACUCGAGUACCCCAAUAGUGGAGAGGCCUCCAAAUUCUGCCCGGAUGUUGAGUCAUGGUUUGCGUCAUUUUGUUGUGGUUGAACUACGUUGCAAGUACUUUCAUAGUUCUGAACAUGCAACUCCUCUGGUGGAGUUUGCUCAUGUACCUGAUUUGUUAUGGGUUGGACAUGGGAAGCCAAGGGUGGAGCUAAAGAUGGUGGUGCAGAAUGGAACAUUGGUACCUGCAUAGGAAAAAGUGGUCCCGAAGUUUGUUCUGGUUGUGAUGGUGGUGGAUCUAAAGGCAGCUGGAGUUGUGAGAGAUUGUGAGGCCAUGGUGACUGCAUAAGUGAAUGAGUAGUACUCAAAUGAUCCGCCGGCAGAACACUUGGUAGUUGCAGAUCUUGUGCCACACAUGUGCCACCGGUCUUGUCUUCAUGACCAUGCAACGGAGGUAGCCGGAAUCUAAUAUCUUUUUGGACCCGAGAGAGCUCACUGAAGAGCUUGUUCAGAUCUUCAAGACUGAGAUCUUUUUCCUUCGUGAAGAUAAGAUUUGCCACCAUACCUGGAUUCUCUUUUUGUAUAUUUUUCAUACGAAGGAUGGAAAGUUGGUUUUUGUCUUCCUCGGUCAUGUUCUCCAUGUCCAACCGAGCCACCUCGUUCUGUAGGCUUCCAAUCCUAGCAGUGGUUGCCUCGUCGGCAGAGGGAACUACUGGUGGAGCUCCAAAUAGGAAAUCAUCAACAAUGGGAUCGGCCAAUGGCGUCCCAAAUGAGUGCAUCUUUCCAUUGUUUGUUUCUAGGACGACCGCAACCCUAGCCCUAGUGAGGGCAGAGAUGUCAGUCGCCCUCUUGAACAAACCGGAACGUCGCUUGUAGAAGGUGAGAUCACGGUCUUUGUCAUUGUGGAUGUAUGCCACACCUGACCGCCGCUCUUUCCUCGGCAUACUAAUGUGGACAAAGAGGAAGAAACUAACUACUACAAAUAGGAAGCACAAGGAUCUACAGAAAACUAGAGAUUUAGGGGUAUUGUUGGCUAACCACAUAUUGGUGUAGGAUAUGAGAAGAUGUACUCCCUUAUAUAGAAUUAAAAGGGUUGUAUGGUAGUGCUAUUUGACUAUACAAAGACCAUGUAAAUCUUUAGUAAAAAUUAACAUACAUAACUCAUAAAAGGUGCUAUUUAUGGAUACUAUUAACUAUCAUCCAAAUAUACAUAUGUGAGUGCAUCCACAUCUUUCUUUGCAACCACUGAUAUGUAUUUCUUCUGAUGUAAGUAUUAACACUUCUAAAAAUAGAAAUAAUAAAUUAUUGCCAUUUGACCAUAUCCAUAUCCUUAUCUAGAAGUAUUAAUGGGAGUUAAACCCAACUAAGUUUUACUCUAAUAUACAAAAAUAAUUGUGGUCAAAUUUAUUUGGUUGUUAAUUGCGUCCAAAUCCUUUGUUGAUCACAUUGAUUACAUCCUAAUGUAUCAGUGAUCAUAUUGAUUACAUCCAUAUCCUGUACUAGGAACUACCUAAUCUAGAAGUGGUCGUCCUUUAAUCCAUAAUAUCCAAGUAUAACAUGGUCCUUGCUUUGGGGCUUAACUUAAAAAUUGAGAUUCCAACUAGGAAAGAUACACUAAGAGCAACUAGAAAAUACUAGGACAUUUGUUAAGUCAUGGUAUAACACAUAAGUUACUCGGAGCAUCGACCUGCCUCCUUGGUAAGCCCAGUUCCCGCGGAAGAUGUGUGUUUAUCGGUUACACAUGUAUAUCUUGGGCCCUAACUUUUUAUGGCCCAUAAAAUAAUAUGUGUAAGGCUUUUUCUGGAAGGAUCCAACACAACCUAAUCUAUUCUGUAUUAAAAGUAAUUGACGGGCUCACCAGAAAAAGAUAAAAAUGCUAGAAAAUAACUCAAAAUAGAAACAACUAACUAUCUAUCUAUUAUAUAUUAAAAGAAAUUGCUAGGCUCACCAGAAAAAGGAUAAAAAUGCUAGAAGAUCUCUCAAAAAUCAAAAACAUCCGACUGUCUAUUUAAUAGACUAAUAUUGUAUAACCAUUAGACUAGUUUUAAGUGAAAUAAUUACCCACCAUUGCCAUUAUAACAAAAAGGUAUUUCGUCUAACUUAUUAGGACGUGGGCUGAUGCCAUAUUAUAAUGAAAAAAAUGUUAUGUUCCCAUAGUACAAAAAGGACUUCUCACACAUGAACACAGUGGCAUCAAUGUUCAUGUAAAUAAUCUUUAAUUGUGAUUAAUUCCCCCUUGGUAGAGUACCUGAAAAAGCCUCCAGAUUGGAUCUCCCCGGAGCAGAGAGGUGGGCGGCGCAAAAAUCAUCUGUUAAUAUUUCUGAGGUUUUUGGGAGUAUAUAAAGCCAGCGGAAGAAAGAUGCGAUGGAGGCAACCUCCUGUGGCAUGUGGCCUAGGGGGGACCAGGUGGGUCUAGGUCCCUCCGGCUUCAUUUCUCCAAAAAACUUAGUUUUUUUCUAGUUUUUUGGUCCCUAAAAGUUGAUUUUUUUAGAAAAUUCAAAAAAACAACAACUGGCACUUUGCACCAAAUUAAUAGGUUAAAAAUGGUGACAGAAGCGAGGUUCUUCCUACCAAUUAGUAAUGGGCGGCUCCCAUUACGUAGAGCUAAAAUGGUGACAAGCACGAAUAAAUCGUUAUAUUUCUCCAAGGCUCAUUAAUAAUGCAUGGUACUAUUCGGUUGGAUAGCCACACAGAAGUCAUGUACUCCUUUUCAAUUUUGAGGGGAUGACUCUUGUCCUGUAUCCAUCUGUCUGGUGACUAGCACGAAUAAAUUGGUGUCUCUCUCUACAACAAAUGAUUGAUAGUACUAUUCGGCCAGACCAGCAGACAUAAGCAAGGUACCCCCUAGUUCCCUGCCGAUUCAAGGCGGAUGGCUGCUGGUAAUAUGUGCAUUAAUCCAAACUGAAAUGGUGACUAGCAUGAAUAAAUCGAUGUCUUUAUUUUUGGCUCUUCAAUACUUCCACUUUUCGAGUAGGUUGUCCGAAAACAUGAGGUGGCCAGCUCCUGAUAUGGAGCCGCAUGCACAUUAAUCCAUGCUAAAAUGGUGACUUGCACAAAUAUAUCGAUCUUUUUCUCUAGGGCUCAUUAACACUUGAUGGUGUAGUUUGGUUGGACAACUAGAUAGAAAGCAAGGUGUUCCACGAUUUCUUGUCCAUAUAGGGUGGAUGGCUCCAUGCACGACCUAUCACACACUAAUCCGGGCUCGUCUAACACGAAUAAAUGGAUGUCUUUCUAUAUGGAUCAUUAAUACUUGAUGGCGCUCUUUGGUUAGGCGGUGUACAAAAGCGAGGUACCCCCUUCUGAUUUCGGGUGGUUGUGGGGCCACUAGACGGGCACAAGCAAGAUACUCCCUGUCAUUGGGAGGUAUAUUUUAAAUAUUAUUUUUAUUACAUAAAUUACAAAAAUAUAACCCUAAAAUAUAAUAUUUCACCAGUAGUACUCCGACAUGUCGGUGCCAACAAUGACAGAUAUCGUUGGCACUACCAAUGAUACAUCUGUCACAUGGGCCAUCAUCGGUGCAUCUUGCAUCAGCCCUCCCACAUGACACACUCAUACAGAGCUAGCUAUGUUAGAGCAUGUACAAUGGUGCUAUCUUCACAAUGUCACCUAAGAUCACUGCUGAGUUAGAAAAGGGCGAAUGGAGGAAAAAAACGCUUGCCAUCUCUUACCUAAGAGACGGUCUCUCAGUAAAGAAGAUAAGACAAUUCCAUCCAUUGUACUAGAUGUCAUCUCUUAGCUACAUAUUUUCAGUUUAGUUUUAACCUUCGCAUUAAUUUAAGAGCAUGUAAACCUUGCUUGUUAGGCUAAGAGCUAAUCCAUUGUAUACUAUGUUUUUAAGCUUCUCCAAAUGACAUACAUAGCAUACGAGAAUAUUGUAACGAAUAACUAUUUGUGUACAAGGUGCUCGGGGUAUUAUGAAGAUAUAAAGCAUGUGCUAUUUGAAUGUAAUAUUGCAAGGGAGGUUUGGAACAAUCUUGGUCUAUUGGAACUCACCGAAGAGGCAUGCAUGCUGGACCAUUCAGGUAGUGUUUAUUUCAAAAAUUCAUGAACGUUUUUUAAUUUGCUAAUAUUACUUUUUGAAAGCAUGAUUUUUUUAGUUUGAGAAAAUGUAAAAUUUCAUGAAUUAUUUUUAAUAGGGGAAUAUUUAUAACUUGAUGAGCAUUUUAAAAUAUCCUAAACAUUUAUUUUAAAUACAGAAUAUUUUUUAUAAAGUUGCAAACAUAUUUAAAAUCCAUGAAUUAUUUUUGAAACUUGGAAGCAUUUAUUAAAAUUCUUGAAAAUAUGGUGAAAAUGAGUAAAGUUUGUCAGCAUUUGUAGGUGAACUUUUAGGUAGCUUUCUACUCCCUCCGUCAAAUAAUAUAUAAUCACCGUGUUUUUGACAAAAAUGUCCUAUGCUAUGGGACAGAGGAAAAAGUAAACAGCUCAAAAAUAGAUCCGUACAACCGAAAAAAGCCCAGCGAGAUAUAACCCAAGCUCGCCUCUGAGCCCACCUUAGUGGGUGGACCCAAUGGUCUAGAUUUGGAAAGGUUGUACUAAGUGGCACAGACUUGUUUUAGAACCAAUUUCUCAAAAACAAACUUGUUAUACAAGCUUCCGAGUGAUUUUUUCCUUUUUUUGGUGUUUUUUUGUAUACUUCAUUUUUACUUCCUGCAUGUUUUCUCUAUUGGUUUUCAUCACUCUAUUUAUUGAAUUUUAUGUUUUUCAUUCCUUUCCUUUUUUUGCAUUUUUUAAAUACAUGUUGACAAAUUUCAUAUACAUGUUGAACAUAUUUGGAUACAUGUUAAACAUUUUCCAAAUACAAUUUGAAUAUUUUUUUAAAUAUACAUUGAACGCUUGACAAAUGUACAUUAAACAUCUUCAGAAUACAAUGUGAAAUUUUCUUAAACACACAAUGACCAUUUUUCAUAAAUGCCAUGAAUAUCAUUUUUAGUCGUGCAAACAGUUUUAAAGUGAUAUUGAAAUUUCUUCAAAUUCAUGAACCUUUUUGAAUGGUAUGAAACAUUUUCUAAAUAUUACACAAACAAAUUUUAACAUUAUAUGAAUUGUUUUUUAAAAUGCUGCGAACUUAUGUUUAAACACAUGAACAUCUUUUAAAUAUGAUAAUCAUUUUUUGAAUAAUAUGAGUGUUUUCUACAAACUAUGCCAAUAAUCUUUUACAUUACAUGAACAUCUGUUAACGCUGAUCAAUUUAGGGAUGACUAUUCGUCACCCUGGAUNNNNNNNNNNNNNNNNNNNNNNNNNNNNNNNNNNNNNNNNNNNNNNNNNNNNNNNNNNNNNNNNNNNNNNNNNNNNNNNNNNNNNNNNNNNNNNNNUUAACAUCAAUAGACCAUACUUUUACGUUCCAUAAAUUUUGUUUUAUUACAUAUGUAAAAGGAGAAAGUAAGAAAAUAUAAUCACUGUAAAAAAUAUUUUAUGUUACGUAAAAUUACAAAAGCUAAAACACAUUUUAAAAUAUACAUAAAAUGCAAAUUUUCUUGUCUUAUAACCUAUAUUUUUGUUUACUUAUACCAAAUUUAAUGUAGUGAAUUAAUAUGAAUAUAACUAUUUGUAUUUCAAAUGCAAUUUAUUUAUAAAACGAUUGUAAGAUUACCUCAGAUAAAUAGUAACUUAUUUGUGUGAUCAAACACAAAAUAAUGAAAAAGAAGACUCCCUACUGGCAGAGCCAUUAUGUGAUCCCUUGAGGCAAGGCGAGCUACUAUCUCACUAAAAGCUAGACAUAGUGACACCCGUAAUGCAUCACAAUCACAUUGGAUAAGAACCAGGCAAAGUGGGCCGGCUCACUAUGUGCGUGAGGGUUUGCUCAACUACAGCAGGCAGCGGGCUGGUCCACGUUGUUGUCCCCCUAAAAAAGUACAUGAUGCUGACUAAAUAAAAUACUUUUUGUGGCCUUAAAAAACAAAUGGCGAACCGGGAGUCCAAUUGAUGAAAUAUUGAACCAACAACUUCACUGGUUCAGUCACUGGUCCGGUUUAUAAAACUAGAGAAAAGUAUACUUUUCGUCACUUAAUUUUUGGUGGAGUCUAGAUUUGAUCCCUCAGCUUCAAAACCGAACAACUUGCACCCCCAACUAUAGAAACCGGACAAGGUUCGUCCCUGGUCUUGGUUUUGACCGGUUUGGUGCUGACUCACCCUGGUUUUGACCGAUCUCACUCAAAUUCGCGUAAUUUUUUUAUAUCCGUGUACUUUUUGAAAUUCGAAUACACUUUCCAAAUCCGCAUAGUUUUUUCAAGGUCGCAUAUUGUUUUUGAGAAAUAAACAUACUUUUUUCAAAUCAGUGCACAAUGUUGAAAUUUUCGUACCUUUUCCAAAUCCGUGAUUUUUUAACAUUUGUGUAGUUUUUUCAAAUCCACGUAUUUUUCCCAAGUUUGUGUAAUUUUAUCAAAUCCCUGAACUGUUUUUGAAGUUCACGUACUUAUUUCAAAUCCGCAUACUUUUGAAAGUCCGCGUUUUUUUUCAAACUGUGUUCCUUUUCUAGUCCAUGAACUUUGUUUGAAAUUCAUGUAUUGUUUCAAGUUGACAUAAUUUUUCAAAUCCACAUAUUUUUGUGUAAAAAAUCCUAAGCCGCUUACUUUUUCUCAAGUUCGCAUAAAUUUUUGAGAUUCAUGAACUCUUUCCAAAAUAUGUACACGAAUAUCAACAAGUACGUAAAUUUUACAGGAAUUUGAAAAAACUACGUGGACUUUAAAAAAGUUCACAGAUUUGAAAAAGUACACGGAUUUGAAAGCAUUACUCGGACUUGGAAAAAGUACGCGAGUUUGAGUCGGCAUGGUCAAAACCGGGGUGGGACAGCAUCAAACCGAUCAAAACCGUGACCAGGGAUGAAUCUUGUUUGGUUUUAGAAGUUAAGGGGGCAAGUUAUCCGGUUUUAAAAUUCAGAGACCAAAUCUAGACUCCGUCAAAAAUUGAGGAAGAAAAAGUAUACUUUUCUCUUAAAACUAUGGUAGAAAUGGCUGACAAGCCCUACGGACACCAACAAACUAUGUGGUAUCAGUUUAUAUCUGGCUGGAUGGAAACAAAUCAUCUUAUUUCCAGUUCCUUUGGAAAGGUGCCAAACGGUAAAAAUUCCCAACGUAAACACCGCUGCCCAACGGUCGACCAAGCUCCGUCCCAUUCCGUUAUAGUAGGCGGUAGCAGUACUAUCAUCUCCUUCCUCCUGUGACUCCAUCCCCAUCAAUCCCCUUCCCCUCCUGCCGCUGCAUCGGAGGUCCCGACAGAAGUGCCAUGGCGGUCGUCGACGAGCCCAUGAAAGCAUGUCCCCUCUUUUUUUUACAGGUUAAACAGGAGAGCUUCAUUCAUAUGAAAGCAAAUUUGGGGCAGUCACCAAUAGACUGGUCACCAAAAAGCUAGGAGUCUCCUCAAGCCAGCUAUCGAUCACAUUCAAAGUGCAAGCACACUUUGCACAAAGAUGCGCCGUAAUGUUCGCUGACCUGUUUACAUGCUGAAUAUCGAACAAAGUAAAAUUAUUACAUAGCUCUCCUAUCUCUAACAAUAAAGGAGCCACAAUUGAACAAGAAUUGUGGCGAGUGUUCCAUAGCGUCACCAUCUCCAAGCAAUCAGUUUUCAUUACCAUGUGCGAGAAUCCUCAAAGAGAAGCGAAACGAACUCCAUUUCGUAGUGAUAAACCCUCCAUAAUCAAGGGAUCAGAGAUACCCAAGUAUGGUUUACACCAUGCUCCCAGGAGCGCUGAAGAGGAUCGAGCCACCCCUCCUGCACCGCCCCUGCCAUCUGCUAAGUUUAAAGCACCGUCCGUAGUAAUCUUGACAACACCCUCAUCAGGUGGUCUUCAGCCAAGUCCAGGCAGAAUCAUUGCAUGUCGUUGUGGUAGAUGAAGGAGGGCGAUCGCCUCCUUGGUGGCCCUGAUCGUAGUCGUAGGAUUCCUCCCCUCUUCGCCGUGCUUGAUCCGAUUCCGGGAGUGCCAUAUAGACCACAUUAUCGUGGUGAUCUUGGCGCGGUCAUCGUCUGUAAACCGAGGAUCGCAUGUGAUAUCCCGCGCCCAUGAGUCUGGAUGAACACGAGGCAAUCUGAGGCCAAACCAAGCACAUGCUUCUUCCCAGAAGCAUUUUGCAUGUGAACAAUGUAUGAGUGUAUGCUCCAGAUUUUCGUCCAUAGCCAAACAAACUUUGCAUCGACGAAUCUCUGCAAUAUGUUGAUAGUUGAGAGUGACUUCAUCUGGGAGAAUUCCACGAAGAACCCUCCACCAGAACACACUAACCUUUGGAAUGACAUUCAAUUUUCAUAGGGAUUUCCACAACUGUGUAUCAUCCUCUGAGGUUCCGGUAGCCGUCCCUUCCUCUAGAUCAACACGCUCUUUCUGAGUCACGAGAGCACGGUACGCCGUCUUCACAGUAUAGUUCCCCGAUCUUUCGAAUGCCCAUGCAAGAAAAUCAUCUCCUCCUCCUUGCCGAAUAGGGAUGUUCAAUAUUGCUUCAGCAUCAGGAGCAAUGAAAGUAUGCCGAACAAGCUCUUGUCUCCACGACCAGUUAGAUGGAUCUAUUAGCUCGGACACACGCUCAAUGGUCGUAUAUUGUGGCCGAAAAAUAGGAUACAUAGAUAUGGUACCCCGCCAAGUGGCCGACACCGACUUGGGUAUGGUAGCGUGCAUGAAGUCAGUGUCGGGGAAGUAGCGGCCCUUCAAAGCAUGUCCCCUCUCCAACUCUUUUCAUUCAUUCGUUUAUUUAUGCAUACGUAUCUGUACAUCUACUCCUAUUGAUGUACAUGCGCCGGUCCGUGUGGUUGUUUUCAAUUUUCUGAUUGAUGGAUCGAACAUCACCUUAUGGUAGGUUUCUUGAGAACAUCUCUGUAACUGUAUGUGUGUACGAUCGUUGCCUGAACCAUUGGUUUAUUGGACUCGUUUUUACUUGUCCUGUUGGCAACGCGUUCCAUGUACUGACUAGGAACUACCACCUUAUCGCUAAGAGCAUCUUUAGCAGACCCCGCAUCCCGCCGACCCGCAUUUUCCGUUUGCAGUUCACAAAAAAGCUGUUUUGCAGUCAGCAGCAAAAAGCUGCAGAGGCAGACCCCGCAAAGCCGACCCACAUCCUGUUUUAUGGGUUGGAUUUGUGGGGUCUGUCUCUGCGGCCGUCCUCCACCCAGCCCGCAAAAUAUAAAUUUGCACCUCAAUUUGCAUUUCUUUGCAUUUUCAACCACAUUGGAUACAUAGAACAUCACCAAAUCUUUGCUAGAAAAGCAAGACCAAAAAAAUAAGAACCACAAGUAUGCAUUUUAGAAGAUUUCCAACUUCCAUAACUGCUCCUACUAGUUGUAGCAAUAUCUUCUCCAUGAUCUGCGAAUCCUUGAUCUUGCAUUCUUCGUUAUUCUUCUUUGGUUCUAAAGAAGUAGAUGUUGCGUCCUCUCUAGUUGCACAUGCAUGCGCUUCAUUACCUUCGAUUGUACUAAGGAGUGCACGAACGUCUAUCAGUUUUCUUUAAUGUAUUCGCCUUCCCAAAACCAAAAGGAGCAUCCAUAUUCCUACACGCAUGAUGAUGUUCGAAAUGAGCAAACAUAAUUAGCUAUCAAAAUGAGCCGAAUGUAAAACAACACGUACCCCGUCGUUUUCGCAUUUGAAGAACACGUAUCCGGGGUGCUUCGGCGUGCCCGAAGUCAGCCUCGGCACUGUCCGCGGACAGUUGUCGCACUGUAUGAGCGGCAUCAGCGAGUCACAGAUCCUCUGCGCGAGGGCUGAGCCCGGCGGCCGGCCGGCCGAAUCCAUGCGGGCAAACUGUCGGCGGCGGCGAGCGGACGAACCCGCACCUGCAUGCGGCGAUGAGCCUUUGCCGGGGCUGCGCGAGGUGAUCCCCGACCAUUCCAUAGCUUGGCGCGCGAUGAAGCGCCGCAGAUCCGCAAGGUCCCAGCCCGCCGACGCAGGAUGAGAGGGAGGGGCGGCGGAGGGCAACCUCGUUCGUGUGGAGGCCUUUCGGCGUGCUCCGGCCGGCCACUUUCGCCGGAAUCUUGGGCGGCAGCGGGGCAAGGAGGAGAGGGGAGGUGGUUUGGUGGGGAAAAGCGCGGGCUGAAAUGUCCCCCCCCCCCACCAACCGCUCCCGCUAUAUGCAGGGCACCGAUGGGCCGGGGGGACCCACAAAUACGUGGGUUGAGGCCGAGUUUUUGCCGCGCCCCUCAAAUUUUUUUGCGGGCCGGCCGCGUUUGCGGUGUCUGUUCAGGCGGAAUUUUCAUCGCCGGCCCGCAUUUUUGCGGUUAUUUUAUGGGUCGGGACCUUUUGCAGGGUCUGCUAGAGUUGCUCUAAUACAUGAGAUUCGGUGACAAUAUGAAUUGUUGAUCUGAUUGAUCUUUACUCGUGUGCUGCUAGAGUUGCUCUUAUACAUGAGAUUCGGUGACAAUAUGAAUUGUUGAUCUGUUGAUCUUUACUCGUGUGACGAUUACUCUGUCGCAUUAUUUCCAGAGAGAAGGAGGUGAUUCUCCGCAGCCUGUCAAGACCGAGAUCGGGGAGAAGACGUCAUCGACGCUUCAACAUAAAAAAAGUCUCGCUUUGCUCGGAAACAAUGAUAAUGAUUUUGAACCACUGGUGAGAAACUUCAUGGAAUCUCUCAUUGCUGCAUUUUAGGCACUUCAUUCUGCCUUUUCCAAGCUAGCUUCAGUGUUCAGAGUACCUUGUCGAACUGCCUGACAAAUUACAGACAGUUUGCUUACGUUUCUUUUUUGUCCUAGUGCUCAUUGGUAUUGUAGCGUCAACUAAAUAUUAUUGCAAUUUAUUAUGCAAGGAUUUCUUGAGGUUUUUUCAUGCUAUUUUGUUUUUCCAGUUAACUUUGGUCGAUUUUAUUUAUUUAUGAGAGUAACUUUUAGCGAGAAGUGAUUCCUGCACACAGAAAAAGAGAAGGAGAUUGUCGAUUCUACAGAAGAAUAACAAAGAACAAAAUAUCAAUACCGUUUUUUCUGAUUGCUAGCGCUGAUGUCUGUUCGUCUGGUUGUUUCCUAAGAUAUUCAUUUGUGUUGUUCUCUCUUUUUGGAUAGUAUAAAGUUUGCUGAAACUCCCUGUUGUGCUUUUUAAAUUAAGCGAGUAGACGCAGGACGUGUGUACUGCAUGCCAGAUUGUCUAUUUUUGUCUGAGUCAGCAUUGCGCGAUCCGUCUUUGGCAUGUCGUUGCGAGAGGUUUUGUUUCUGUCAUUGUCGAACUGACUAGUAACUACUAGUGCUACUUAUUUCUACAUCACUAGUUAAAAUUUAGUAAUAAAAAUUAUUGUGCAAUUGAGGUUUAUGGUCAUAACAAUGAGUACUCUGACUUUGUUUCCUAACUAAUUUUCCAGAGGAAGGGAUGGACACCAGUGAGUUCCCUCGAGUCUGCCAAGAUCAAGAUGGGGGAGAAGACGGCGUUUUGGCAUCCAAAGCUCACUUUGGUCAACAACGGCGGUUUGGAGAAUGAGCAAGUAAAGCCUCCAGGCUCUCGGUAUGAAGUGGUAGUCCAAAGGACUAUCACUAUUACCUUUAAAGUAAGGAAAUUUUUGGUCAUUCUCAUAAAAGGACGUUCAAUACCUCAGAUUAUCUGUAAUCUCUUGCAGCAUAUGCAAACAGAUAUUGAAUUUGUUGCUUUGUUUUGGUUGAUUACAAUAUUGUCAGAGGAAGAGACGGGGUCCAGCCAAGAGUAAGAUUCAUGACCCAAUGUUUUUUUUUGAAAGAAAAUAUGUACUUUAUUAAUUGGAAAUAAUGAUUACAUCGUCUAUAAGAAGAGGUACAAUAUUCUCCAUAGGCUCCUCAAAUCAAUCUCUAGUUACAGAAACUUUCGCUAGCCUUGCAAGUUCAUGAGCAACCUUAGUAGCUACCCUAUUAUAAUGUUCAAAUCUAGUCAACGGAAAAUCACAUGCCAUGAAGUAGCAAUCCUCGAAGACUGCCGCCGCAACUCCCGUUGAUUGUCCUCCAUUUCUCAUUAUGUCAAUGACUUCCAUAUUAUCAGAGUUAAUAAUAAGACGAUUGCAUCCCGCCUUUUGUGCAAGAAUUAAACUAAACCUCAGAGCCAUCGCUUCUGCUGUUAGUACAUCAGCACACCAAUCGAUCUUCCAAUUUCCACCAACAAUGAAUUUUCCUUUCUCAUCUCUGAGUGCAGCUAAAUCUUCCUCAGGGAAAUAUUUAGCUCUCAAGAUGGUUGCACAUAAAGAUUCAGGAUUAUCAAGAAGACGCCACGCUUGUUUAGCUAAUAGCACCAGGUUGAAAUAGUGUAUAUCUCGGAAGCCCAUACCUCCUUGAUCUUUUGGAACACGCAUUUUCUACCAUGCAAUCCAAUGCAUCCUCUUCUGAUUGUCCUCGUCACCCCACCAAAAUUGCGACAUCGCGUCAAUAAUUCCUUUGCAAAAAAAUUAGGAAUUUUAAAGACGGACAUGGCAUAGGUGGGGAUGGCUUGUACAACAGAUUUGGGCAAAAUUUCCUUCCUAGAGGGUAACAAUUUUUCCUUCCAUCCACUAAUUUUCAUAAUAAUUCGGUCGAUUAGGAACUGGAAACAAUCACUUUUGUCCAUGCCCACAUUUGCCGGCAAACCCAGGUAUUUGUCAUUGAGGGCUUCAGUCAUAAUAUUUAGAAUUGUACAUAUUUGUGCUUUGUCUUCCAUUUUAGUAUUGGGACUAAAGAAUAUACUGGAUUUUUCAACACUAACCAUUUGCCCUGAGGCGGCACAAUACGAAUCCAAGAGUGAUUUCAACGCCUCCACACUCAUGGGAUUGGCUCACAUAAGGAUCAAAGAGUCAUCAGCAAAGAGGAGAUUAGAAAUUGAUGGGGCAUCUCUGCAAACCUUUAUACCUAAAAUGUUUCCAUUCUCCUCCGCAGUAGCUAAAAGGGCGGUCAUCUAAGAAAACCUUGAUUUUUCACAUUCAUUAAUUCAUAUAUGAGAUGCAGUUGUUGUUCUUGGUAGUGUUAUGCAACCAGAAAAAGUAAUGGAUUCUAGUCUCUUGAGUUGAAGUUUGGACUUGUGCUAUCUUUUAAUUUAAUUAUUUAAUGAGCAUGGCUUCUAUUUUUAGUUGACACGCUAAUGUUUGCCUCACAAUAUUCUAAGAGGUGCAUUGUUGUAAAUACAUGUUCCACUUCCUUCAUUCUUAAGAUGACAAUGAUCUAAACAACAACGACAAAAUUGUAGGUACUAAUGAAAAAACAUCAUGGAGACAUGGACCAAGACCUGGAACACUGAGCAUACAUAUUUUUCCCAAAGAUCCUAAUUAAGAUAGUAGUCCAAAGGAUAAUGAAUUUGGAAAUAAAUAUAUUUUUAUUUCAGUAUAGCUCUUACAUGGAAGCGCUAACUAGCAUCUACAACAGAUCUCCAUAGUCUGUAAGAAUAUCAAUAUCUUGUCCAGUGGAAGAGGGCGGCACAUCAACCCAUCCACCAUUUACCAUGGAAGACUGCCCUAGAUCCGUACCGCUAGAGCCUGAGGAAGCAUCCAUCCAUAGGAAACUAUUGUAGCAUGACUGAUCUGAUAGAGCAUAACCCCAUUGUUCAGUGUUAAAUGGGUCAUCAAUAGAAAAAGCAUUGCCAGUCGAGUACCCCAAUAGUGGAGAGUCCUCCAAAUUCUGCCUAGAUGUUGAGUCAUGAUUUGCAUCAUUUUGUUGCGGUUGCACUAUGUUGCAAGGACUUUCAUAGUUCUGAACAUGCAACUCUUCUGGUGGAGUUUGCUCAUGUAUCUGAUUUGGUAUGGGUUGGACAUGGGAAGCCAAGUGUGGAGCUAAAGACGGUAGUGCGGAAUGGAACAUUUGUGGUACCUGCAUAGGAAAAAGUGGUGCCGAAGUUUGUUCUGGUUGUGAUGGUAGUGGAUCGGAAGGUAGCUGGAGUUGUGAGAGAUUGUGAGCCCACGAUGACUGCAUAAGUAAAUGAGUAGUACCCAAAUGAUCUGCCGGCAGAACACUUGGUAGUUGCAGAUCUUGUGCCACACAUGUGCCACCGGUGUUGUCUUCACGACCAUGUAGUGGGGGUAGCCGGAAUCUAAUGUCUUUUUGGACCCGAGAGAGCUCACUGAAGAGCUUGUUCAGAUCUUCAAGACUGAGAUCUUGUUCCUUCGUGAAGAUGAGAUUUGCCACCAUACCUGGAUUCUCUUCUUGGAUAUUUUUCAUACGAAGGAUGGAAAGGUUGUUUUUGUCUUCCUCGGUCAUGUUCUCCAUGU
RNAcentral lists this long non-coding RNA (14389 nucleotides) under Triticum aestivum (bread wheat). RNAcentral describes it as "long non-coding RNA (TAES_LNC017206)". Lineage: Eukaryota; Viridiplantae; Streptophyta; Magnoliopsida; Poales; Poaceae. The record is from RNAcentral.